RNAcentral lists this non-coding RNA (31 nucleotides) under Rattus norvegicus (Norway rat). Lineage: Eukaryota; Metazoa; Chordata; Mammalia; Rodentia; Muridae. The record is from RNAcentral.
UGUCAAAACCGAUUGAGUUCACAAUGGCCUU